RNAcentral lists this long non-coding RNA (35304 nucleotides) under Solanum tuberosum (potato). RNAcentral describes it as "long non-coding RNA (STUB_LNC011907)". Lineage: Eukaryota; Viridiplantae; Streptophyta; Magnoliopsida; Solanales; Solanaceae. The record is from RNAcentral.
GUGCUAGAAAACUUUCAUUAUAUAUAUUUGACACCGCGAACACUAUGUCCUCCGGUGAAGUCUUGUCACAAGUAAUAAUAGUUUCCUUCACAGUGUCAUGAAUUACUGUCACGAAUUCGUGCAACUCCAUCUUGUUCUCCCCAGGUAUGAAUUUUAUAGGGGCGUCAACUCCAAGAUUCCCAAAAGAUUUUUCUACUUGAGGUAAAGAAAUCAACCUAGUGCGCAAGUUAAUUGGGAUGUUCAUUAGAGAACGUCUUAGAUAUCCGUGCUUCUUUUUUGAAGCAAGGAUUAAAGCCCUCCAUAGGAGGGCCAUGAUCAUUUCAACUCUUGAUGGCUUAAACCACCGACUUCUUUUCUUAGCCUUGAAAUGGAAUCUUCGUUGAUGUAUAGCCUUUUGGCUACUAAUUUAGACUCCACACGAUCUAAUGGAGGAACACGAGGCAAGAGAAGCUUCGAUAAAUCUCUCGUUGGGAAAACAUCAACCAAAUUAAAGCUCAUGAAAUCGAUCUUCUCUACAGGAAUCUCAAGUCUACAUACUUUGGACCACUCGUUGAUAACAGUAAAAAUUGAGUAACCAUCCAUUGCAAUGUGCGCGUGGCUCAUGGAUAGAGCCAAGCCACCACACUCGAAUUCUGUAAUUUGGAUAAUGACAACUGGCAUGGCGAAUAAGUUGGAUGCAUCUACAUUCCAUGAAUCUUGAGGCCAAUAGAGCAAUGAAAGGUUGACAUCCUUACGUGCUUUCUCAAGAAAUUCAUUGAGUUUACUAUUCACUUUUGCUUUUAUAAAUUUAACCCCUUGGUCCUGGCAGGAUAUCGAGUUAUCCUCGGUAAAUCUGCCAGACAUAGGGUAAACAUGAGUUAAAAUCCUAGAUAAGGAUUGCUCAAGUUGUUCUUCAUGAGCUGAAAAAUUAAUGUUGUUGGUAGGAGGAUAAAAAAAACAAGAGGUAUAUGUGUCUCAUCAGAUAAUUGAUCAAAGAAACAUAACUUGUAAUUUUGGAGAUGAUUUGGAGUUGGUGAAGAUGGUUUUAUGAAUUUUGUGGAUAUAAUUUCAACUUCCAUGUUUUCUUUUUGAAAUGCCAGAUGUGGUAAAAUAGCAAAAGAGAGAUUAAGCAAACAAGUGAAGAAGCUAAGAUAAGAUAUAUAGUGGCACUUCACUCUUCCCCUUUAUAUAGAAAAAAAAAAAAGAUAUGGGUUUUCUAUUUAUCGAUUUUUGAUAACCAUCCAGUUUAACCAACAAAAAAAUAAAUAUAUGACUUCUUUAAUAAUUUGGCGCGACAGGAUAAUAAUGUAACUUUACAUAAUGUUUAUAAUUAAAAUAGAAGGGAUAAGGCACAAGUACCCCUAGACUAUGGCCGAAAUCUCAAAGACACACCUUAACUAAUUAAUGUAAAGUCCUAUUACCCCCUAAACUCAUUUUUUGUUUAAUUUUAUACACCUUUUGACUUACGUGGCACACUUCGUGACUCCACCUAAGUGAGGCGCGUGGGAGACGUUUGGAGGCCACAUAGGUCAAAAAGGUGUACAAAAUUACAAAAAAAAUAAGUUUAGAGGGGUAAUAGGACCUUAGUUUAGUUAAAGUGUGUCUCUGAGAUUUUGGUCAUAGUCUAAGGGGUACUAGUGUCUUAUCCCACAAUAUUAACUACCAUGAAAAUGAAAAAAACUAUACAAGUGCAAUACAAAUAAAGAAUUAGGAUAAUAAUGUGAAUUGAAAGCUAAAGGGCAAAUGAAAGGUAGUAACCAGCAAAAUAUAUAUAUUGAUAUAAAUAUUUACUAUAUUUUUGUAGAGGUAAGUGAGGAAAUGACUACCGGGUUAUUGGUUUACUCAAUAAUCCAAAGCUAAAAAAAUCAAAAUCAAAUUGAUAAUUCAAUAUUUAUUUUUUUAUAAUCAUUAAAAACUUGUUAACUCAAUAACAAUAAACUAGACAAACUAGAAAGAUGACAAAAAAAAACAUAGAAAACUCUAAAAACUUAGCAAAUGCCUUAACAUCAUGGUCCAAAAAAAAUAAAAUCCAUAAGUAUUAUAACUCUCAGCAAGUGCUUGAAAAUGAGUUUCACGCUUUUUUGAUUACAGUAACGGCUGCAAUUGAAUUCGCUCUUGAUUUCCAUUGGUAAAAGCCUUGAUAUCACUUUCACAUUCAAAUAAACUCAUAUAACUAUCCUUCAAGUCCACUUGCACACAAAUACUUCCACAUUCUGCAUCAUACAUCCAACAACUAUGAAAAUUUCUCAAUCCAAAAUGCAUCAAACUCGGUUUUCCUCGACCAAAAUCAGCAUCCUUCAUCGGAAACUUACACAAACUCGAAAUUAUACACUUGUCAACUUCAUCAUUGUCAGUUCCCCAUUCUUUUGACGAGAAAAUUUCCUUGUAUGAAUUAGCCACAGUCGUGAUUAUGUCAUCAGCUGAACCUAUAGCACAAGCAUCAAUACCUUUUUGUACCGAAUUCCUAAUCAACGUUACAAAAUCAUGAAGCUCCAUUUUGUUCUUCUCGGGUACAAAUAGUAUUGGAGCAUCCAUUACAUUAUUCCCAAACGCGUUUUCUUUUAGAGGUAAUGAGAUUUUUCCGCGUAAAUUCACUGGGAAAAACACUAAUGAACGUCUCAAAUAUCCGUGUUUUGCUUCUGAAACACAAAUUAAAGCCCUCCAUAAAAUUGCUGUAAUAAUUUCAACUCUUGAAGGCUUAAAGCAUAGUUCCCCUGAAUCUGUCGCCCCUGUUAAGUUGUCUCUGAGAGACGAUAUCGUCUGUUCAUUAAUAAAAAAUCUCUUAGCUAUAAAUUUUGCUUCUAAUUCUACAUCUUUCUCUGUAGGAUAUAUAUAUAGAGAGAGAGAGAGAGUGUUUUCAGAGACCACUAGGUGUCGUGGCACCCCCACGGGUACCCAUAGAUCCACCCCUGAAUGCAAGUACAAAGUAAAAAGGUGACAUAUAAAAAGGGACGAAGGGAGUAUUAAACACUUUAUUUGGGUAAACUUUGUAAAGGUGUUAGUACAUACAAUAAUACAACUCAACUAACCCUUUAUUUUAGAAAAAACUUGAUUACAUUAAGAUACGAGAAUCAAAUUUGGACCUCAAUUGGCCAUGUGUAUUGGGAACUGACAAUGAUGAAGUUGACAAGUGUAUAAUUUCAAGUUUGUGUAAGUUUCCUAUGAAGGAUGCUGAUUUAGGUCGAGAAAAACCGAGGUAAUUUAGAGUUUUCUAUGCUUUUUUUUUGGUCAUCUUUCUAAUUUGUCUAGUUUAUUGUUAUUGAGUUAUUGGGUUAACAGGUUUUUAAUGGUUUUAUAAAAAAAUAAAUAUUGAAUUAUCAAUUCGACUUUGAUUUUUUUAACUUUAGAUUAUUGAGUAAACCAAUAACCCGAUAAGAAGGUAGUCAUUUCCUCAAUUACCUCUACAUAAAUAUAGUAAAUAUUUAUUUCAAUAUAUAUAUUUUAAUGGCUACUACCUUUAAUUUGCCCUUUAACCUUCAAUUCACAUUAUUGUCCUAGUUCUUUUAUUUGUAUUGCACUUGUACAGUUCUUUUCAUUUUCAUGAUAGUUAAUAUUGUUCUAUUUUAAUUAUGAACAUUAUGUAAAGUUACAUUAUUAUCCUGUCGUGCCAAAUUAUUGAAGAAGUCAUAUAUUUAUGUUAUGAGCAUUUUUUUGUUGGUUAAACUGGAUGGUUAUAUAUCAAAAAUCGAUAAAUAGAAAACCCAUAUUUUUUUUCUAUACAAAGGGGAAGAGUGAAGUGCCACUAUAUAUCUUAGCUUCUUCAUAUCACUUGUUUGCUUAAUCUCUCUUUUGCAAUUUCACCACAUCUAUAUACUCAUGGCAUUUCAAAAAGAAAACAUGGAAGUUGAAAUUAUAUCCACAAAAUUCAUAAAACCAUCUUCACCAACUCCAAAUUUACAAGUUAUGUUUCUUUGAUCAAAUAUCUGAUGAGACACAUAUACCUCUUGUUUUUUUUAUCCUCCUACCAACAACAUUAAUUUUUCAGCUCAUGAAGAACAACUUGAGCAAUCCUUAUCUAGGAUAUCAACCUUUCAUUCCUUUGUUGGCCUCAAGAUUCAUGGAAUGUAGAUGCAUCCAACUUAUUCGCCAUGCCAGUUGUCAUUAUCCAAAUUACAGAAUUCGAGUGUGGUGGCUUGGCUCUAUCCAUGAGCCACGCGCACAUGGAAAUGGAUGGUUAAUUACUCAACUUUUACUGUUAUCAACGAAUGGUCCAAAGUGUGUAGACUUGAGAUUCCUUUAGAGAAGAUCGAUUUCAUGAGCUUUAAUUUGGUUGAUGUUUUCCCAACGAGAGAUUUAUCGAAGCUUCUCUUGCCUCGUGUUCCUCUAGAAGAUCGUGUGGAGUCUAAAUUAGUAGCCUAAAGGCUAUACAUCAGCGAAGAUUCCAUUUCAAGGCUAAGAAAAGAAGUUGGUGGAGACUUAUGCUUUAAGCCGUCAAGAGUUGAAAUGAUCAUGGCCCUCCUAUGGAGGGCUUUAAUCCGUGCUUCAGAAAAUAAAAGAAGCACGGAUAUCUAAGGCGUUCUCUAAUGAACUGUAACACCCCAGAAAAUUUUUGAGCUAAGACUUGAACCGUCCUUCGUUGUGGGUAGGAUUUAACCAAGGAAUUUAAAAUUUCUUAAGUGUUAAAUUCACUAGAUGUAGCACCUUGAGUUCGAAAAAGAAUUAAAUUGGAAAUAGCAAGAUCUAAAAUUUUGCAAGUUAUGCUUAAGUAUGAGUUUUGGGUUGACUUCAAACGACCAUAACUCCUAGCUCAUGAUGAGUUAGGUGUACUACCAGAUACCGUAGGAAAGACCUUUGAAUUAUCUUUCCAACGCCGCCAAUUUUGCUCAGUUUCGAUAUCGUAUGAGGGAGAUAUGUUUAUUCGAAGUUGGGCUGUCUAGAUAAGGAAAGUCAAAACCGGAUUCUAGAGGGGUAUUUUGGUCUUUUCCUUACCCAAUAAGAUUUAAUUCGUUUUUAGUAAUAUUUUAAGGGUCUAAUCCUAUUAGGUUCAGUUUUAUAAUCCUAAAAAUUAGCCUAGGGUUUUAGUUGAGAGUUCAAGAAGAGAAAAGAAGAAGAAAGAAGAGGAGAAAUAAAAGAGAAAGGAUUGAAGCGUUCGUCGAAAUUCUUAAGAGUUGUUGCGGAUUUUCGCCAUGGGUUUAAUCCCUAAGAGGUAUGUAAGCUUCCAUAGUGUUGGGUUUGUUCACCCACACGCCAAUCAUAUUAUUUUUCAGCGAAAUGUCAUUCUUGAAGUUGAAAGAUUAGAGUUUUAUAUAUUUUUAGCGGCAACUAACACUCUUUGUAUAUGUCCCUUAAGCCUUUAGCGACAUUGGAUCUAAUGACACUUAACUAAUGCCGUUAAAGACUUUAGCACUCUUUAUUAAUGUGUCUAUUUAUUCCGCUAAAAAAUAUUUUUGUUGUAGUGUAACAUUUUCAAAGUUUGUCCAAAUAAAGUGUUGAUUAAAUAAUCAAGUAAACUUUUUUUUAGUUUUGUAUUAGAUAAAGCAUGAUGAAAACAUAAUUAAAUAAAUAUAAAUAAUAUAGUAAUUAAUUUCUUUUCUUUCUAGGACUUGUAUAACUCUCAGCUAUUAUAACCUUUGUUACAUGACCCUCUGUCCUUCAAAUAGUCACUCUGUGGUAAUAGGCUACAAAUCACAUGAUGUAAAUUGUACUAGACAAGUUCUAUGCAACAUGCUCAACUUAGAAAACAUUGAGGGGAAGUCGAUCCCGAAUCAUCCAUGUGAUGGACUAUCCUCCAAAUCAACUGAGUCAUCCUGAAGGACCAUAUAACAAAUUAAAUUAAGCUUUUACAUGACACUAUCACAUACAUUAUGUCAUUGUGUAUUUCUUUUACAGCUAAGUACUGUUGAAACAUCAUUGUGAUUUUUUUCUUUGUUUUCUUGUUAUUAAAGCAAGAAUUUACAUGUGAAAUAUAUUGACCUUGGCUUUUAUCAAUAUAUUGUAACACUUUGAUCUUGACAAAUUGAAUAUUUAUGUUCAUCAAAAUCUUCAAGUUGUUGUACCAUAGAAUGAGUAAUGGAAAAGUUGUUUUUGGGAUAAAAUAGAACAAAAGGGACGUGUUUUCUUAGCAACUUGAUCAAAGUAAGAUAAUUUAACUUGAAUUUGGCUAGCUCAAGAAGAAACUGUAAACAAAACUUGCAUUCUCACUUGUAUUUAAGUAGAGAGCGGAGAAUCUUAGUUAGCUUAGUUAGUUGAGUAUACAAAUUUUCACUUUGUUAGUGAGUGAUUGAUGAUACUCCAACCUUGUAAUACGCUUUUCCGUUUCUCUUUUUUCGUCACCUACCCUUAUUUGUCAAAUUUGGAUAUGAUACACUCGUUAAAAAAAAAAUUGACACGAUAUUUUAAUUAGCAUAUUAUCCCUAUUAAUUGAUAUUUAGUAUUAAAUCUUGAAAAAUGAUUUGGAGAAAAGUAAUUAAAACUAAAGGUAAAACAUGGAAACAUAAUUAUUUACUCUUGAAAUGUGAAAAAUGACAAGUAAAAGUGAACUGAUCUAGGGAGUAUAUUAUUUCCAGUUCAAUUUGUUUGUCAUAUUUUUACUUGAUACAAAGUUUAAAUAAUUUUUUUUUUUGAAUCUUGUGAUCUUAAAUAUGUUACGUGAAAAAUUAAAAUCAAGAGUACAGUUACUAAUAAAUAAAAGAGUCUUUUUUUUCAUUUUUCAAACGAAUAAAAAUGAAAAGUAGCACAUACGAAUUGAAACUGAGAGAGUACCUAAUGACUUAGAUAACCUGUUCAUAUAAUAUAUAAUAAUUAUAUAUAAAUUCAAACCAAAAAUAAUAUAAUAAUUGAUGAGAGAAUGCACAUAUUAAUUAAAAAAAACUCAAAUAUGCUAUCAAAUUUUGAGAAAAAGCUUAUCUAUGUCAUUUGUUAAGAGUUUAGCUUAUCUAUGCUAUUUUUGUUUGAGAAACGGUUCAUUCAUGUCAUUAUUUGUCAUUAAAUAGCAUAGAUGAGCCAAACAUUUAACAUAUGACAUAUAUGAACCUUUUCUCAAAGUUCAAGGACAUAUUUGUGCCUUUUUCCCUUUUAAAAAAUAAUUUAAUAAAUGACGUGACUGAAAAUCAUAAUUGACCACGUGUCAAAAAUGGGUUUUCAUAAUUGACCAUGUGUAAAAAAUAGUUUUGUAAAAUGGAAUUGGUUUAAGUUAACAAAUAAUGUCAUAAAUGAGUUGUUUUUCAAAAGUAAAUGGUAUAGAUGAAGCAAAUUUUUAACAGAUAACAUAAAUGAGCCUCUUCUCAAACUUUAAUGAUGUAUAUGAGUCUUUUCUCUAUUAACAAUAAUAAUUAAUAUUAUAUCUGAUAUCAAAUUUUAAAUAUUAUAUUAGAAAAAUAUACUAGUACUUAUUAACAUGGAUAAUAAACUAGAUGCCUAAAAUUAAAUGAUGAAGAGAGAAAUGAAAUGACAAAAUUCAAGUAGAAAAAUAUAGUCUAACAAUAAUCGAAGCUAAUUUAGUUUAAAAUUUUAGAAUUUGUUUCCUUUGACUUCCUUGUUUUCCCAUUGCCUUUUCAAGAGCUAUAUGAAAAUCUUUAAAAGGUACCAUAUCCAUCCUGUAAUAAAUUUAAUUAAAAAUCAAUAUUGCUACAUUGUUCAUUUUAAAUUCAAAAUAACUUCUUUUUUUUANNNNNNNNNNNNNNNNNNNNNNNNNNNNNNNNNNNNNNNNNNNNNNNNNNNNNNNNNNNNNNNNNNNNNNNNNNNNNNNNNNNNNNNNNNNNNNNNNNNNNNNNNNNNNNNNNNNNNNNNNNNNNNNNNNNNNNNNNNNNNNNNNNNNNNNNNNNNNNNNNNNNNNNNNNNNNNNNNNNNNNNNNNNNNNNNNNNNNNNNNNNNNNNNNNNNNNNNNNNNNNNNNNNNNNNNNNNNNNNNNNNNNNNNNNNNNNNNNNNNNNNNNNNNNNNNNNNNNNNNNNNNNNNNNNNNNNNNNNNNNNNNNNNNNNNNNNNNNNNNNNNNNNNNNNNNNNNNNNNNNNNNNNNNNNNNNNNNNNNNNNNNNNNNNNNNNNNNNNNNNNNNNNNNNNNNNNNNNNNNNNNNNNNNNNNNNNNNNNNNNNNNNNNNNNNNNNNNNNNNNNNNNNNNNNNNNNNNNNNNNNNNNNNNNNNNNNNNNNNNNNNNNNNNNNNNNNNNNNNNNNNNNNNNNNNNNNNNNNNNNNNNNNNNNNNNNNNNNNNNNNNNNNNNNNNNNNNNNNNNNNNNNNNNNNNNNNNNNNNNNNNNNNNNNNNNNNNNNNNNNNNNNNNNNNNNNNNNNNNNNNNNNNNNNNNNNNNNNNNNNNNNNNNNNNNNNNNNNNNNNNNNNNNNNNNNNNNNNNNNNNNNNNNNNNNNNNNNNNNNNNNNNNNNNNNNNNNNNNNNNNNNNNNNNNNNNNNNNNNNNNNNNNNNNNNNNNNAAUUUUUUAUGUGUCUAGCGCUUUCAUCAAUAUGAAAGAGGAAGCUUUUGGGUUGUACCUGUAUCACUAGGGUCAUUACAUCAAAAAUGAUCUAUAACAAUAAUUAAUUAAUGAUAAUAACUUAAUUGUCACUAAAUAUGUAUUUUUAGCGGCAAUCCGUUAAAAGUUAUUUUUAUUGUAGUGGGACUGGGAGGACGUUAAAUAGUAAACUAAACGAAGAUGAUUGCACAGAAGAUCGACCUAAAAAGCCAAUGUUCUUGGUACAAAAUCUCAUGUUCUAAAUUUAUUUCUUAUUUCAUAAUCAUAUAUAAGAUUUGAACUAAAGUUAUUGAGAAUACUGGCUAAACUUGUAACUUAAAUCCUAUUUCAUGAUAAUUUGACACGUAAUUAUCUAAUAUAGCUAUAGUUUGAAUAAUUACCUGAAAGAUAAGCGGCAUGAAUAACCAAAUCUCCAGGGGAAAAAAGCCAUAACAGCAGAGCCCACAGAAUGUAUUUCUCCAACACCUUCCCAUCCCCCUAUUGCAGGUGUUGGUGGCAGUACCGGAUACACUCCUGCAAUUAUUAGUAAAAUUAAGGACUCGAUUAUUAAAAUUAUUCACUAUUUUAUUAACUUCUUUUUCUCAAUUAUGGAAGUUCUAUAUUUAACUUGAAGUUGCAUUUUAAAUUUGGAAAACGGCCUAUAAUAUGUUUUUUAAACUCAUUUUUCACUUUUCAUGUUGUAUCUAUGUACAAUGUACACUCAACCUUGAAGUCACUUCGAAUAUUCUUUAGAAAAAAUUAUAACCAAGCACAACUUCAUGAAUCUCCACCCCCCCCCCCACAACCCCACCCUACAACCAAAAUCGAUAGCUAGGAGUUUAUUCACACCUUAACUAAUUUCAUAAAAUGCCUAACAUAUUUUACUAACAAUAGAUAACAGAUAACCAUGUUCAACAAGACUAUAACAUGAUAGUGACUUAAUUUGCUCACACUUUGAUUAAUCUCAUGAAAUGUGACAUAUUCUACUAGUAAUAGUUUUUUAAACUCAUUUUUCACUUUUUAUGUACAUUCAACCUUAUUCUUUAGAAAAAAAUAUAACCAAGCACAACUUCAUAUAGUGUAAUUUUCCUUCGAAGAAGUCACAGAGUUUUUUUUCCUUUAUUGAAAUUAAUUAAACCUACAACCUAGUAAUUACUAUAUCAACUAUUAGUUUGAAAAAUAUUCUUUCUUUCAUUCUAUUUUUCUUGUAACACUGAUAUUAUAUAAUAUAUAUAUAUAUUUAUAUAUAAAGGAGAAAAAGAGAAUUUAAUGGAAUUAACCCUCUAUUCUGUUGAUAUCGGCGGGAUUGAUGGGAGCUGCAAGCAUUUUCACGCACACCUCGUUCUCAUUCAUCUCCACCGGUGGAAUCUUCGUAACUCUGUCGGAAUUAGAAUUUUCACUAACAUGAUUUAAAAUAUAAAAAAAUAAAUAAACAUAUAUUAUAUAUACAUAAAAAAAAUUAAUUGUAUAUAUAUAAUAUAAUUUUUUACAACGCAAGGGUGGUGGUAGGAGGACAUUGUGAAUCUAGAACGGACCUUGUGACGGUGUCGGGCGGGCCGUGUUGGUCGUAGACAACGGCGGUGGAUGGCGGAGACAUGGUGGCCAGGAAGUUUACGACGGAGGUUUGUUUAGGGACGACCAAAUUUGAGUGACGAGAAAACAUUAUCCUACAAAUUUUUGAUGUAUUGUAUUAAAGUGUUUUUAAGUUUUCACUUGGAAACAUUUGGGGAAAAUGCAGCUACUUAUAAUGUAAAAUGAUAAUAAUAAUAACGGAAAGGGGUCAUAAAUACCCUUAAACUAUUCGAAAUAGCUCAUAUAUACCCUUAAACUAUAUUUCGGCUCAAAACUACUCUUCCCGUCAAACUAUUUGGUCAAAAGUACCAUUCUUAUUAACGAAAGUUGUAAAAUGCCAUGUGAAUACCACAUGUCAUGCCAAUACUAAUUACGCUUUUUUCCACUGCCACAUAGACUAAAUUCCUAAAUCUUAAUUACUCUUUCUUUUCCCUCAUUUCAUUAUUUUCCAAAAACGAUUUCACCCCUUCUCCCUCGUUUCGCGGCUAGGUUGGGAGAAGUUGUGAAACCUAGCUACGAAAUGAGGGAGAAGGGGUGAAAUCGUUUAUGAAAAUAAUGUAAUGAGGGGAAAAAAAGAGUACUUAAGAUUUAGGGAUUUAGUUUAUGUGGCAGUAGAAAAAAAAGUAAUUAGUAUUGGCAUGCCAUGUGGGAAUGAGAAGUCAUAUUAUCAGCUGAUUAUAUUUUUAUUUUCCGUUUUAAUAACUAGAUUUAUUUAACUUGUUUGAUUGAGGAUCUAUAAAAUACAAGUUAAUAUAAGAGUGCCAAAAUAAUUUUAAAAAUCUUAAUUUUCAACAUUAGGUGUAAAAGUUGGUACUUAGAGUCAAAUGAUAUGAUAUUUGAAACAAAUGUCAUAAUAUUAUUGGCAUUUAUAUUUAAUGUGAUUAUUUAAAUAACAUUUCGUGUCAAAUGUCAUUUAAUACAAUGUAAAGGGGGUUGUGUAGUUGUUCCAGCAAUGUUAUGAUUGGGUGGCUCAUCGGAGCUCCGGCGAGCUAUUCGCCGGAGACGAAGAUAAAUAGUGAAACUGUUUGUUAAAUAAAAAAUCUGAAAAUUAUUCAAUCCUAAUCUAAAAAAUUAAUCAUCACCCUCAAAAAUUUAAAAACACUCAUUCUACGAAUUGAAAAUUUAAUAUAUAACAUAUAUUAGACUAAUAUUUUCAAGUUAUAGCAGUAGAAUUAAACUUUCAAGUUGUAAAAAUAAACUGUUAUAUGUAAGAAUUGUUUAAAAGUAUGUUUAAAACCCGUAAAAUUUACUCUUAAAUGUGUAUAUGGCGUGAAAAUUCUAAUUCCGACAGAGUUACGAAGAUUCCACCGGUGGAGAUGAAUGAGAACGAGGUGUGCGUGAAAAUGCUUGCAGCUCCCAUCAAUCCCGCCGAUAUCAACAGAAUAGAUGGUUAAUUCCAUUAAAUUCUCUUUUUCUCCUUUAUAUAUAUAUAUAUAUAUAAAAUAUCAGUGUUACAAAAAAAAUAGAAUGCAAAAAAGAAUAUUUUUCAAACUAAUAGUUGAUAUAGUAAUUACUAGGUUGCAGGUUUAAUUAAUUUCAAUAAAGGAAAAAAUACUCUGUGAUUUCUUCGAAGGAAAAUUACACUAUAUGAAGUUGUGCUUGGUUAUAUUUUAUUCUAAAGAAUAAGGUUGAAUGUACAUAAAAAGUGAAAAAUGAGUUUAAAAAACUAUUGCUAGUAGAAUAUGUCAGACAUUUCAUUAGAUUAGUCAAAGUGUGAGCAAAUUAAGUCACUAUCAUGUUAUAGUCUUGUUGAACAUGGUUAUCUGUUAUCUAUUGUUAGUAAAAUAUGUUAGGCAUUUUAUGAAAUUAGUUAAGGUGUGAAUAAACUCCUAGCUAUCAUUUUGGUUGUGGGGUGGGGUGCGGGGUGGGGAUUCAUGAAGUUGUGCUUUGUUAUAAUUUUUUCUAAAGAAUAUUCGAAUAAUCUUCAAGGUUGAGUGUACAUUGUACAUAGAUACAACAUGAAAACUGAAAAAUGAGUUUAAAUAACAUAUUAUAGGCCGUUUUCCAUACUUUUGUUGAUGCACCUGUUAUUUGAGGUUUUCUAGUUUUCUUUUAAAUAAAGGGUCAAUUGAGUUGUAUUAUUCACUACAAAAAAAAUGGAGAUACAACGACAUUAUGUAAAAAUCGUAUUAGGCAGUUUAAAUAUCGCAAAACUACUUACCGACAUUUGAUUGUCGAGAAUUUUCGGACAUUUAAAGAAAUGUUGAUAAUUAAUAAGCGACCUUUAUUCAUGACAUAUAUAAAAUGUCACUUAUUUUUUUAUAUUUAAAUUAUUUUCAAAAAACAAUUUACGACAUUUAUUUGUGACCUUUAUAAAUUGUCACAUUAAAAUUAAAUUUUUGCCAAUAUCAAAAUAACUUUUUUUACGACAUUUGUAAAAUGUUUUCUCCGUGUAAAAUUAAUGACAUUUUUUUAAAACUAUGCAAAUGUUGCUUUAAAAUUUCCAACCAUUAUUGGCUGCAAACUGAAACAAAGGGUCGAACUUAAGCUCACCUUAACUUUGCAAUUUUUAAGUUAUUGAUAUGAAGGUCACGUCACCAUAUAUCGAUUAAUUAAGGUAAAAGUUACUACUUUUAUUUUGUAAGCAUUCAAUAAUUUUGUUCUACAAGUUAAUAUAAGAGUGCUCCUCCCAGUCCCACUACAAUAAAAAUAACUUUUAACGAAUUACUGCUAAAAAUACAUAUUUAGUGGCAAUUAAGUUAUUAUCAUUAAUUAAUUAUUGUUAUAGAUCAUUUUUUAUGUAGUGACCCUAGUUAUAUAGGCAUGUCAUAAUAUUAUUGGCAUUUAUAUUUAAUGUGAUUAUUUAAAUAACAUUUCGUGUCAAAUGUCAUUUAAUAGCUAGACACAUAAAAAAUUCUGAUUUUCCUUCCCAAAAGCACAUUUACAAAACAAACUGAUGAAAGCGCUAGACACAUAAAAAAUUAUGAUUUUCCUUCCGAAAAGCGCAUUUACCAAAAAAAAAAAAAAACUCGUAAAAUUCAAAUUCUGAACUCUUAGUUUUAUGUCUUUUAUGUUCCAGGGACAUGGCAAACCUAUGUGGUAGAAGAUCAAAGUUUAUGGUACAAAAUAGACAAAAACACUCCAAUUGAAUAUGCUGCCACUAUUUCUGUUAAUCCUUUGAGUGCCUUGAGAAUGCUUGAGGACUUUGUGGCUUUAAAAUCAGGUUUAUUAUUUAAAUUUCCUAAUUAAAAACAUGUUUAAUUAUUUUAAUUUGAUUUAAAAAUUAAUUAGUUUUUUUUUCGAUUAAACAGGGGACACAAUUGUUCAAAAUGGAGCUACAAGCAUAGUAGGGCAAUGCGUUAUUCAAUUAGCUCGAAUUCGUGGAAUUCAUAGCAUUAAUAUCAUAAGAGAUAAACCUGAAUCUGAUAAAAUUAAAGAAAAAUUAAUUAAAUUUGGCGCUAAUAAAGUAUUUACUGAAAGUGAACUUGAAGUCAAAGGUGUCAAAAAUCUCCUGGUAUGAAAUUAACUUUUAUAUACGAACAUUAUAAUUAUUUUUUAAAUAAUCAACGAGUGUAUUUUUUUUUUUAAUAUGUUGUAACGAUCGAUGAUGUGUUGUAGGGUGAUAUACCUAAACCUAGUUUGGGUUUGAAUUGUAUUGGUGGAAAUGCAGCUAAUAUGGUGGUAAAAUUCUUGAAGUGUGAUACUUUUUUUAUUUUUUUAAAUUAUUGUUUUCUUCAAAGUUUAAAGUUUUUACUUUUUUUUUUUUGGUUAAAUAUUGAAGAUAUACAAUAUUAUUUUUAUUAUUUUUAAGGCAAGGUAGUAUAUUGAUUACAUAUGGAGGGGUGUCAAAGAAGCCAAUUACCAUAUCUACUCCAUAUUUUAUAUUCAAGGUUAGUUUUCAAAUGAUCAAUUAUAAAAUUUAAACAAUAAGUAAUUCUUUGGAUCAUAUAUUGAACAAUUAUUGAGAGUAUAUCGAAAAUAAUAUAUACGUACGUUUUAUUUAUUUGAAGAUAAAUAUUGAAGAUUUACAAUAUUAUUUUUAUUAUUUUUAAGGCAAGGUGGUACUAUGGUUACAUAUGGAGGGGUGUCAAAGAAGCCAAUUACCAUAUCUACUCCAUAUUUUAUAUUCAAGGUUAGUUUUCAAAUGAUCAAUUAUAAAAUUUAAACAAUAAGUAAUUCUUUGGAUCAUAUAUUGAACAAUNNNNNNNNNNNNNNNNNNNNNNNNNNNNNNNNNNNNNNNNNNNNNNNNNNNNNNNNNNNNNNNNNNNNNNNNNNNNNNNNNNNNNNNNNNNNNNNNNNNNNNNNNNNNNNNNNNNNNNNNNNNNNNNNNNNNNNNNNNNNNNNNNNNNNNNNNNNNNNNNNNNNNNNNNNNNNNNNNNNNNNNNNNNNNNNNNNNNNNNNNNNNNNNNNNNNNNNNNNNNNNNNNNNNNNNNNNNNNNNNNNNNNNNNNNNNNNNNNNNNNNNNNNNNNNNNNNNNNNNNNNNUUUAUUUAUUUCAAACUUGACCAUUUGUAGAUCACUAAAUAUGUUGUUAUAUAUUGAAUUAUCUUUUUUUUUAAAGGAUAUUUCCUUGAAAGGAUACCUGUUACAAGAAAAGAAUUUAGAUGAAGCACAAUAUAGGUGUUCGAUUGAUCAUCUAUUGGCCCUCGUUCGUGCUGGGAUAUUGCAAUAUGAGUACAAUUUCUUACUCUCUCGAUCAAUUAAUUUUGUAAUUCUUUAUGAAUUUAAAUAUAAUUUUACUAAAAAAAAGAAGUUAUUUUGAAUUUAAAAUGAACAAUGUAGCAAUAUUGAUUAUUUUUUUUAAAUUUAUUACAGGAUGGAUAUGGUACCUUUUAAAGAUUUUCAUAUAGCUCUUGAAAAGGCAAUGGGAAAACAAGGAAGUCAAAGGAAACAAAUUCUAAAAUUUUAAAAUAAAUUAGCUUCGAUUAUUGUUAGACUAUAUUUUUCUACUUGAAUUUUGUCAUUUCAUUUCUCUCUUCAUCAUUUAAUUUUAGGCAUCUAGUUUAUUAUCCAUGUUAAUAAGUACUAGUAUAUUUUUCUAAUAUAAUAUUUAAAAUUUGAUAUCAGAUAUAAUAUUAAUUAUUAUUAUUAAUAGAGAAAAGACUCAUAUACAUCAUUAAAGUUUGAGAAGAGGCUCAUUUAUGUUAUCUGUUAAAAAUUUGCUUCAUCUAUAUCAUUUACGUUUGAAAAAAAGACUCAUUUAUGACAGUAUUUGUUAACUUAAACCAAUUCCAUUUUACAAAACUAUUUUUUACACGUGGUCAAUUAUGAAAAACCAUUUUUGACAUGUGGACAAUUAUGAUUUUCAGUCACGUCAUUUAUUGAAUUAUUUUUUUAAAGGGAAGAAGGCACAAACAUGUCCUUGAACUUUGAGAAAAGGUUCAUAUAUGUCAUAUGUUAAAUGUUUGGCUCCUCUAUGCUAUUUCAAUUGACAAAUAAUGACAUGAAUGAACCGUUUCUCAAACAAAUAUAGCAUAGAUAAGCUAAACUCUUAACAAAUGACAUAGAUAAGUUUUUUUUCAAAACUUGAUAGCAUAUUUGAGUUUUUUUUAAUUAAUAUGUGACAUUCUCUCAUCAAUUAUUAUAAUAUUUUUGGUUUGAAUUUAUGUAUAAUUAUUAUAUAUUAUAUGAACAGGUUGUCUAAGUCAUUAGGUACUCUCUCGGUUUCAAUUUGUAUGUGCUACUUUUCAUUUUUAUUCGUUUCAAAAAAGAAAAAGAAAAAGACUUUUUUAUUUAUUAGUAACUUAUUUAAGAUCACAAGAUUCAAAAAAAUAAUUUAUUUAAACUUUGUAUCAAGUAAAAAUAUGACAAACAAAUUGAAUUGGAAAGAAUAUACUCCCUAGAUCAGUUCACUUUCACUUGUCAUUUUUCACAUUUCAAGAGUAAAUAAUUAUUUUUCCAUGAUUUACCUUUAGUGUUAAUUACUUUUUUCUCCAAAUCAUUUUCAAGAUUUAGUACUAAAUAUCAAUUAAUAGGGAUAAUAUGCUAAUUAAAAUAUCGUGUCAAAUUAUUUUAUUUUACUGAGUGUAUCAUAUCCAAAUUUGACAAAUAAGGGUAGGUGACGAAAAAAGAGAAACGGAAAAGCGUAUUACAAGGUUGGAGUAUCAUCAAUCACUCACUAACAAAGUGAAAAGUUGGAGUAUCAUCAAUCACUCACUAACAAAGUGAAAAGUUGGAGUAUCAUCAAUCACUCACUAACAAAGUGAAAAGUUGGAGUAUCAUCAAUCACUCACUAACAAAGUGAAAAUUUGUAUACUCAACUAACUAAGCUAACUAAGAUUCUCCGCUCUCUACUUAAAUACAAGUGAGAAUGCAAGUUUUGUUUACAGUUUCUUCUAUUUUAUCCCAAAAACAACUUUUCCAUUACUCAUUCUAUGGUACAACAACUUGAAGAUUUUGAUGAACAUAAAUAUUCAAUUUGUCAAGAUCAAAGUGUUACAAUAUAUUGAUAAAAGCCAAGGUCAAUAUAUUUCACAUGUAAAUUCUUGCUUUAAUAACAAGAAAACAAAGAAAAAAAUCACAAGUCUUGCCGAUUUCACUAAAAAGAUGUUUCAAUACUUAGCUGUAAAAGAAAUACACUGCUAUAAUGUAUGUGAUAGUGUCGUAUAAAAGCUUAAUUUAAUUUGUUAGAUGAUCCUUCGGGAUGACUCAGUUGAUUUGGAGGGUAGUCCAGCACACGGAUAAUUCGGGAUCGACUUCCCCUCAAUGUUUUCUAAGUCGAACAUGUUACAUAGAACUUGUCUAGUACGGUUUACAUCAUAAUAUUUAUAGGCUAUUACCACAGAGUGACUAUCUGAAAGACAAAGGGUCAUGUAACAAAGGUUAUAACAACUGAGAGUUAUACAAGUCCUAGAAAGAAAAGAAAUUAAUUACUAUAUUAUUUAUAUUUAUUUAAUUAUGUUUUCAUCAUGCUUUAUCUAAUACAAAAUUUUUUUAAAAAAGUUUACUUGAUUAUUUAAUCAACACUUUAUUUGGACAAACUUUGAAAACAUUACACUAUAACAAAAAUAUUUUUUAGCGGCAAUAAAUAGACACAUUAAUAAAGAGUGUUAAAGUCUUUAACGGCAUUAGUUAAGUAUCAUUAGAUUCAAUGUCCCUAAAUGCUUAAGGGACAUAUACAAAGAGUGUUAAUUGCUGCUAGAAAUACAUAUUUAGCGACCAUUGAGCUAUUCCGUUAAUUAAUUGUCGCUAAAAAUCAGGUAGUAUUAGUACAAUAAUUCAACUGAACUGACCCUUUAUUUAAAAGGAUUUUGAGGUGAUAUGGAUUUUGAUGUUGAUCGAUAUUUUUUCAUCGAAAAAUUACAUUUUAGUUAUAAUAAAAAUAUUUUUUAAAUAUAUUUAUAUAUCAGAAAAGCUGUUUUGAGGUUAUAGGGAAUAAAUUGGGACCUUAAUGGGCCAUACGUAAGGACAUCGAGAUAUUAGCUCAAAGAAAUAUAGGUGUAUUUAUUAGUUCAGUUCAUUUAUUUAGGCCAACUCAAGCUCCUCAAUACUAUGUAUAAAAAAAUAAAUAGAAAUUAGCGAAAAAUAAAAUUUAUUGUUGAAUAGUAAAAGUUUAUUUUGACAAGAGAAUAGUGACCAGUGAUUAAAAAAAAAUCUUGUUUGUUACAGAAUAUUUACUGAUAAAUUAGAAAUAAUUUCGUAGCUAAUUCAUAUUUUAAAGUUAUAAUAGUAGUAAAGUGAUGGAUUCAAAUAAAGAUUUUAAUAAUAAAUCUCUUAUUGAUUACUACAUUAUAACAUAUUUAGUGUAGGUUUAUAAAAUAGAGUUAGGCGAAAAUAGAAUGUACGUGAAUGUUAUUCCUACCUCAGAAGUAGAGAAGCUGUGUUUGAUAGAUAUUUGGCUUAAGAAAAAAUAGCCUAAAAGAAAAAAACUACAAGAAACAACAGAUAAUAAAAAAAUUAGUAGAUAAUAACAGAAUGGAAAGUACAGUAAAAUAAUAUAAUAAUCGAGAUACAAGAAAUAAUAAUAACAAAAAAUAACAAGAACUUUUUUAAAUUGGUAUAUUUAAGAUAUUUUUAAAACAUAGUACUAAAUAUCAAUUAAUAGGGGUAACAUGCUAAAAUAGUGAUCAUGUCUGUUAUUGUUUUCUAAUAAGUAUAUCAGAUUCAAAUUUGACAAAUAAAUUAAGGUAGGUGAAGAAAAAAGGGAAAUGGGAAAUCGUACUAUAAUUAAGGUGGGAGGAUCAAUAACUCAUUAACAAAGUCAAAAGUCAAGUAUAAUCUAUUUUUGUCACGGGGCAUUAAAUAUGUGAACGUGAUACCAACAGUAUUUUUUAGGUCAUUUCUUGUUUUAAUAAUUACAACAAGACAAAGAAAAAAUCAUAAGUCUGGUUGCUUUCACUAGUUUCAAUGCUUAGCUGUAAAAGAACUACACAAUGUUACUUAUAAAGUAUGUGAUACUCUCGUGUAAAAUUAAGCUUCAUUUGAUUUGUUAUAUUGUUCUUUGUCAUGACUCAGUUGAUUUGGAUGGUUGUCAUUCAUACGGAUGAUUCGGGAUUAAUUCUCUUUUAAUAUCUUUUGAAUCAAGCUAAUCGCAUAAAAUUAGCCUAGUGUGGUUUACAUCCCUUAUGUGGUUUGUAGGCUGUUACUACACAGUGACUAUCUGAAGGACCAAUGGUGUGACAAAAGUUUAUUUUUUUGGUUUCCCAUCCGGUGUUCGGUAUCCACAUUAGAGCCCUAUUAAAUCCGAAUUCACUCCGGGAUGUCCCACAUUGGAGGGGGAAAGGGUGGAGGUAAAACGCUCCCUAACAAAGGCGCCUCCAUACCCAAGGGGACUCAAACCCGAGACCUUUUGGUUUAGGAUGAAGGAGUACUUACCACUCCACCACAACCUUGUUGGUGAGGUUGUGACAGAGGUUAUAACAGUGGAGUGUUAUCCUAGAGAUCUAAAAAGAAAAUAAAAGAAAUUAAUUAGUAUAUUAUUUAUAUUUAUUUGAUUAUGUUUUCAUCAUGGUUUUAUCUAAAACAAACUAUAAAAAAAUAAGGUUACUUGAUUAUUUAUUCUACACUUUAUUUGGACAAACUUUGAAAACUUUACAUGAUAGGGAAUUAGGGAUUAAUGAGACCUCAAUGGGCCAUAUGUGAGGAUCAGUGGUGGGUAGAGCCACUUAUAGUUGUGGGAUGGUGAUCGAUACUCCAUCGUCAGAAAAUUAUAUUGUGUAUUAGUUAAAAUAAAAAUAUUUUUUGUCAUAUAUAUUACAUAUGAACACUUCUUAACUUUUACAUGAUUUUACUUCUUUAUAUUUUAACACACCUUAAUUAAUAUUCUUGCUCCGCCACUAAUGAAGACAUGCCAAUUUAUGUAUUUAUCGAAGGAUCAACUCAAAGAAAAAUAAGUGAACUCCUUAAUUAUUAUGCAUAAAAACCUGUAAAUAGCGACAAAUAAAAGUUAUCGCUAAAUUUCAAGUAUUACACCUUAAGCUGAAUUGGAUCUUCAAAAAGAUAAAUGAAGAAAAAGAACAUGUGAAAAAUAAUGUUGAAAAGGAUAUAUAUAUUGGGGAAGAUAUAUUUUCAAUAAUGCAACCAAGCAGAGGCGGAGCCAGCAUAUUGUCAGGGGUUGGGAAACCCUUUUGAUGGAAAAUAUUAUUAUUUAUAUAUGGUUAAAAUUACUUUUUAGGUAUAUAUAGUAGAUGUCGAACCUCAUUCAACUAGUUCGUGUGUUUCUUUCUUCAAAUUUUGAACCCUUUAUUUAAAAUCAUGACUCCGCCACUGCAACUAAGUGUAUGAUCGUCUCACAUAAUGUUUUAUCUAAAAUAAACUAUAAAAUAAUAUUUUUACUUAUUAAUUAGGUAUUCUAAGACUUUAUUUGGGUAGACAUUGAAAACGUUAGUACAAUAAUUUAACUCAACUAACCCUUUAUUUAGAAAAAUAGAUAACGUUAGAUACAAGAAUCAAAUAACAUGUGAAUUUAAUUUUAAAAUGUUUUCUUGAGGUGAUGAUGGGAAUAAAUUGGAACCUCAAUGGGCCAUACGUAAGGACAUCGAAAUAUUAACUGAAAGAAAAAUAGGUGUAUUAAUACUAUAUAUAAAAAUAAUAGAAAUUAGCGACAAAUAAAAUUUAUUGUUGAAUACUAAAAAUUUAUUUGACAAGAGAAUAGUGACAAGUGAUAAAGAAAAAUCUUAUUUGUUACAGAAUAUUUACUGAUAAAUUAGAAAUAAUUUCGUAGCUAAUUCAUUUUUUUAAAAAGUUAUAAUAGUAAUAAAGUGAUGGAUUCAAAUAUAGAUUUUUAAUAAUAAAUUUCUUAUUGAUUACUACAUUAUAACAUAUUUAGUGUAGGUUUAUAAAAUAGAGUUAGGUGAAAAUAGAGUGUACGUGAAUCUUAUUCCUACCUCAGAAGUAGAGAGGUUGUCUUUAAGAGAUAUUUGGCUCAAGAAAAAAUAGUCUAAAAGAAAAAGACUACAAGAAACAACAGAUAAUAAAAAAAAUAGUAGAUAGUAACAGAAUGGAAAGCACAGUAAAAUAGUAUAAUAAUCGAGGUACAAGAAAUAAUAGUAACAAAAAAAAAAAAGAACUUUUCUAGUGCGGUUUACAUCCGCUAGAGAAUGAAGAAAAAAGAAAUGUGAAAAAUAAUGUUGAAAAGGUUAUAUUAGGGAAGAUGUAUCUUAAGUAAUGCAAUAAGUGUCUGAUUGUUUAAUAUAAAAGUUUAAUUUAAUUUGUUAAAGAAAUUAGUAUAAUAUUUAUAUUUAAGUUUUCAUCAUGUUUUAUCUAAAAUAAAUUAUAAAAUAAUAUUCUUUCUUAAUAAUGUGCUCCCAGCUCUGUCCCCUUUUAUAUGACAUUCUUUUCUAUAAAUAGUUGGACCACAAUACUUGCCAUUUUAUAAAUUUUUUUGCAUAAAUUACCAUAUUUUGCCUAUUAUAACUUUGAUAGAGUAGUUAAUUAAUCUUGAAAAUGUAUUCAUCAUUUAUUAUAAAGUUGACUUAAGAAAACAUUAAAUAAGGAUAGAAGGGUAAAGUUACAUCAUUUCUUAAUGCAAGCANNNNNNNNNNNNNNNNNNNNNNNNNNNNNNNNNNNNNNNNNNNNNNNNNNNNNNNNNNNNNNNNNNNNNNNNNNNNNNNNNNNNNNNNNNNNNNNNNNNNNNNNCGGUUGCUUUAAUUUUGGGUUACAAUUCGAGUUAUUUAUCUUUUUUCGAUUUUUAUAAACAAAUUGAUCAAGCAUGCAUGUUAGUAACAUUUUCUUUUCGAUAUUAUCAGAUUAGAGAUAACUAAACAAUUCAAUUUUUAAUUUCUUUUUAGGAAUUAGUGGCCUUAUUCUCUGAGGAAAAAAGGGAUUUUUCUCACUAAAAUUUGAGCUUGUAUAAACUAUCUAAUAGUGUUAACUUACUAUAUUUAAUAUUUCAUUGACUUUAUGUGUUGUUGCAAAUAUAUAACAAAGAGAAUAAAUUUUUUAGUUUUAACCUAGUCAUCUUACUUAGCAAGAACGUCAGUGAAGAUAGAAAGAACCUUUAAAUUAAAAGAACUCUAAUAAUAAUAUCCAUCAUUUUUAAAACUUAUAUUUUGUUUAGUAGGUGGCAAAGAAAAUAUAUAUUACUUUCUUAUAUAUAAAUAUAUAGUUUUUUCUGAGAUCACUCGUGCCAUAGCACCCCACGGGUACCAUAGAUCCGCCUCUGAAUGCAAGUGUAAAGUAAAAAUGUGACAUAUAAAAAAAGAUUUAUUUGGGUAGACUUUGUAAUGGUGUUAGUACAUACAAUAAUACAACUCAACUAACCCUUUAUUUUAGAAAAAAACUUGAUUACGUUAAGGUACAAGAAUCAAAUUGGGACCUCAAUGGGCCACGCGUAAGGACCUAGUACGUAUCGAAACAUUAACUCAUCAAAGAAAAAAAGAUGCAUUUAUUAGUUCAAUUCAUUUAUUAGGACUACUCAACCUAUCAACACUUUGUUUGGAUGGUUGUUACGUAUUGUUUCAUAAUGUAUUAUAUUGUAUUAUGUUAUUGUUAAGCGGUGUGGUUUUUUUUUCCUCAUGAGUUACAAUUUAAAAAUUGUUAAACCCUUCUAACUUAUCUCAACAUAUGGGCCAAGUGGCAUAGGGUCUUAAACAAGUUUCAGACUUAGCUCAUUAUUGUUACCCCUAUUAAUUGAUAUUUAGUACUAAGUCUCAAAAAUACCUUAAAUAUACAAUAUAAUUUUUUGUUGAGGGGGUUCGGGUGAACCCCUCGGCAACCUCUAGGUCUGCACUUGGAUACAAUCUAUCCAAACACUGUAUUCAUUGAAAUAAUAUAAUACGAUACAACUAAUUAUACCUACACUAUGACUAUCUUGUGCACCAAUUAAACCUAAUCCUUUUGUUGACAACCUUGUUAAAACCUCUUGACCCAAAAAUGUUACUUCCUUCUCAACUAUAAAUGAAGCAUUGGUUUGUUUGAAUAGUUUGGAAAGAAAAAAAUAUCACCCCGAGAUCAAACCAAUCCGAUAUUAUAUAUGUAAUUUUAAAAUUUUAUUUUAUACAUAAAUAUAUUUACUUUGAUAUAAUUUUAAAAUAUUUCUUAUACUAUUUCAUAGUUUUUAUCUUUUAAUAUAUUAUUUCAAGUUUUAGCAUUUCAUCCCCAGACGGAUGGUCAGGCAGAGCGUACCAUUUAGACCUUAGAGAAGAUCAUUUUCAUUAUGACUUUGCAAUAUUUAUUUUAUAUGAUGAUUUCAUUAUUAUUUUUUAUUGAAUAUGUUUGUUCAUCAGUACUCAUCUCAUAUUUUGUGUUAUUUUUUUAAGAAACACCUUAGAUAAUUGUAUUUUGGUUGGACUAAAGAAAUAUUUGGAGCACAAGUUAAUUAUAUGUUUGUAUGCAAACUUUACCGAAAAAAUCCAAAAAUCUGAAAAAAUCCGAGGUUUAUUAGUUUGGUUUGAUUUAUAAAUUUAAAAAUUCCACACAAUGGUUUGGUUUGGUAUUUGAAAAACACGAACCAAUCCGAGGUUGAAAAACCCGAAAAACUCCAAAUUUUAUUAGUUUGGUUUGGUUUAUAAAUUUAACUAUGACUAUCUUGUGAGGGUGUGCAACCAUUUUGGCACCAAUUAUAUCUAAUAUCAAAUUUUAAAUAUUAUAUUAGAAAAAUAUACUAGUACUUAUUAACAUAAAUAAUAAACUAGAUGCCUAAAAUUAAAAUGAUGAAGGGAGAAAUGAAAUGACAAAAUUCAAGUUGAAAAAUAUAGUCUAACAAUAAUCGAAGCUAAUUUAUUUUAAAAUUUUAGAAUUUGUUUCCUUUGACUUCCUUGUUUUCCCAUUGCCUUUUCAAGAGCUAUAUGAAAAUCUUUAAAAGGUACCAUAUCCAUCCUGUAAUAAAUUUUAAAAAAAUCAAUAUUGCUACAUUGUUCAUUUUAAAUUCAAAAUAACUUCUUUUUUUUAGUAAAAUUAUAUUUAAAUUCAUAAAGAAUUACAAAAUUAAUUGAUCGAGAGAGUAAGAAAUUGUACUCAUAUUGCAAUAUCCCAGCACGAACGAGGGCCAAUAGAUGAUCAAUCGAACACCUAUAUUGUGCUUCAACUAAAUUAUUUUCUUGUAACAGAUAUCCUUUCAAUGAAAUAUCCUUUUAAAAAAGAAGAUAAUUCAAUAUAUAACAACAUAUUCAGUGAUCUACAAAUGGUCAAGUUUGAAAUAAAUAAAGCAUACGUAGAUAUUAUUUUUGAUAUACUCUCAAUAGCCGUUCAAUAUAUGAUCCAAAGAAUUACUUAUUGUUUAAAUUUCAUAAUUGAUCAUUUGAAAACUAACCUUGAAUAUAAAAUAUGGAGUAGAUAUGGAAAUUGGCUUCUUUGACAUCCCUCCAUAUGUAACCACAGUACCGCCUUGCCUUAAAAAUAAUAUUGUAUAUCUUCAAUAUUUAACCAAAAAAAAAGUCAAAACUUUAACUUUGAAGAAAACAAUAUUUAAAAAAAUAAAAAAAGUAUCUCAGUUUAAGAAUUUUACCACCAUAUUAGCUGCAUUUCCACCAAUACAAUUCAAACCCAAACUAGGUUUAGGUAUAUCACCCUACAGCACAUCAUCGAUCAUUACAACAUAUUAAAAAAAAAAUACACUUGUUGAUUAUUUAAAAAAUAAUUAUACUGUUCGUAUAUAAAAGUUAAAUUCAUACCAGGAGAUUUUUGACACCUUUUACUUCGAGUUCACUUUCAGUAAAUACUUUAUUUGUGCCAAGUUUAAUUAAUUUUUCUUUAAUUUUAUCAGAUUCAGGUUUAUCUUUUAUGAUAUUAAUGCCAUGAAUUCCACGAAUUCUAGCUAAUUGAAUAACACAUUGCCCUACUAUGCUUGUAGCUCCAUUUUGAACAAUUGUGUCCCCUGUUUAAUCCAAAAAACUAAUUAAUUUUAAAUCAAAUUAAAAUAAUUAAACAUGUUUUUAAUUAGGAAAUUUAAAUAAUAAACCUGAUUUUAAAGCCAAUAAGUCCUCAAGCAUUCUCAAGGCACUCAAAGGAUUAACAGAAAUAGUGGCAGCAUAUUCAAUUGGAGUGUUUUUGUCUAUUUUGUACCAUAAACUGUGAUCUUCUACCACAUAGGUUUGCCAUGUCCCUGGAACAUAAAAGACAUAAAACUACGAGUUCAGAAUUUGAAUUUUACGAUUUUUUUUUUAUUUCGUAAAUGCACUUCUGGAAAGGAAAAUCAAUUUUUUUAAUGUGUCUAGCGCUUUCAUCAAUACGAAAGAGGAAGCUUUUGGGUUGUACCUGUAUAAUAGGGUCACUACAUCAAAAAUGAUCUAUAACAAUUAUUAAUUAAUGAUAAUAACUUAAUUGCCACUAAAUAUUAAUUGCCACUAAAUAUGUAUUUUUAGCGGCAAUCCGUUAAAAGUUAUUUUUAUUGGUAGUGGGGACUGGGAGGACGUUAAAUAGUAAACUAAACGAAGAUGAUUGCACAGAAGAUCGACAUGAAAAGCCGAUGUUCUUGGUACAGAAUCUCAUGUUCUGAAUUUAAUUCUUAUGUCAUAAUUAUAUAUAAGAUUUGAACUAAAGUUAUUGAGAAUACUGGCUAAACUUGUAACUUAAAUCCUAUUUCAUGAUAAUUUGACACGUAAUUAUCUAAUAUAGCUAUAGUUUGAAUAAUUACCUAAAAGAUAAGUUGCAUGAAUAACCAAAUCUCCAGGGGAAAAAGCCAUAACAACAGAGCCCACAUAAUGUAUUUCUCCAACACCUUCCCAUCCCCCUAUUGCAGGUGUUGGUGGCAGUACCGGAUACACUCCUGAUAUGCAAUUAUUAGUAAAAUUAAGGACUCGAUUAUAAAAAUUAUUCACUUUUUUAUUAACUUCUUUUAUACACUCCUGAUAUGCAAUUAUUAGUAAAAUUAAGGACUCGAUUAUAAAAAUUAUUCACUUUUUUAUUAACUUCUUUUUCUCAAUUAUGGAAGUUCUAUAUUUAACUUGAAGUUGCAUUUUAAAUUUGGAAAACGGCCUAUAAUAUGUUUUUUAAACUCAUUUUUCACUUUUCAUGUUGUAUCUAUGUACAGGGUACCCUUAACCUUGAAAACCCCCCCGCACCACCCCACCCCACCCCACAACCAAAAUGAUAUAUAGCUAGGAGUUUAUUCACAGCUUAACUAAUUUCAUAAAAUGUCUAACAUAUUUUACUAACAAUAGAUAACAGAUAACCAUGUUCAACAAGGCUAUAACAUGAUAGUAACUUAAUUUGCUCACACUUUGACUAAUCUCAUGAAAUGUCUGACAUAUUCUACUAGCAAUAAUUUUUUUAACUCAUUUUUCACUUUUCAUGUUGUAUCUAUGUACAGGGUACCCUUAACCUUGAAAAUUAUUCGAAUAUUCUUUAGAAAAAAAUAUAACCAAGCACAACUUCAUAUAGUGUAAUUUUCCUUCGAAGAAAUCACGCCAUAUACACAUUUAAGAGUAAAUUUUACGGGUUUUAAACAUGCUUUUAAACAAUUCUUACUUAUAACAGUUUAUUUUUACAACUUGAAAAUUUAAUUCUACUGCUAUAACUUGAAAAUAUUAGUCUAAUAUAUGUUAUAUAUUAAAUUUUCAUUUCGUAGGAGUGUUUUUAAAUUUUUGAGGGUGAUGAAUAAUAUUUUAGAUUAGGAUUGAAUAAUUUUCAGAUUUUUUAUUUAACAAACGGUUUCACUAUUUAUCUUCUUCUCCGGCGAAUAGCUCGCCGGAGCUCCGAUGAGCCACCCACCUCCUCUCAAACCCAGACAGAACAGCCCCAUUCCUUCAGCACCCUCACCGGAACACCAAUCUUAACAUUGCUGGAACAACUACACCACCCCCUUUACAUUGAAUUAAAUGAUGUCUCAGGAUAUAUGCGGAAUAGAAUAUUAUAAUUUAAUCUUUCACACUGUAUCGGUUGAGACUGAAAGAGUUUAAUAUCUUGCCUUAUUUCAUUGAUAACCAUGGUUUAUAUAUAAUCAAUACAAGACUAUAAUUAAGGAAACUAACUAGAUAUAAGAGGAACUAAAUAUACACUUAACUAAUGUGAUAUAUACAAAGAAUCAGAAUAUCUUUAUCAUAUAUUCUAACACGCCCCCUCAAUCGAAGCGGGAGGUCGCCGAAUGCUAAGACUGUCCCGAAAAUCCUCAAAUAACACCAACGGAAGACCCUUGGUGAAUAUGUCUGCAAUCUGAUAACGCGAGGGGACAUGUAACACUCGAACUUGACCGUGAGCCACAUUUUCUCGUACAAAAUGUAUAUCCAUUUCAAUAUGCUUAGUGCGUUGAUGCUGAACAGGAUUACUAGCAAGAUAUAUGGCACUCACAUUGUCACAAUACACCAAUGUAGCCUGUGGGAUAGGACAAUGAAGUUCCAAAAGCAAAUUUUGUAACCAACAUGACUUAGAAACCACAUUGGCAACCCCUCGAUAUUCAGCCUCUGCACUUGAACGGGAUAAAGUAGCUUGACAUUUAGCGGACCAAGAGAUCAAGUUAUCACCCAGAAAGACACAGUAACCCGAUAUGGAACGUCGUGUGUCUGGACAUCCACCCCAAUCAGCAUCAGUGUAUGAAAUAAGAGUGGAUGUGGAUGAAGAAAAUAGGUGAAGACCAAAGUCCAUAGUACCCUGUAUGUAGCGCAAAAUACGCUUAAGUGCGUGCAUGUGUUCCUCCCUCGGGUCAUGCAUGAAUAAGCAUACCUGCUGCACUGCAUACAUAAUAUCAGGUCUUGUGAACGUAAGGUACUGAAGUGCUCCAGCAAGACUCCUAUAAAGAAAUGGAUCCUUAAUCGAUUUGCUCGUAGUAGUGCCGACCUUCGGUUUUAUAUCAACUGGAGUGGGAGAAGCUUUGCAUGAUGACAUUCCAGCUUGUUCAAUGAUCUCAGUAGCAUAUUUCUUUUGUGAUAAAAAUAAACCACCUUCAUGUCGAGUGACUACAAUGCCCAGAAAAUAGCUCAACUCGCCCAAGUCCUUCAUAGCAAAUUCCUAGCUAAGAAAGGAGAUGAUAGACUGACGGAGCUUAUCCGAGGAAGUAGUCAAAAUGAUAUCAUCGACAUACAGUAAAAGAUAAGCCAUAGAAGUACCUCGAUGAUAAAUGAACAAUGAAUGAUCCGAAGUACUUUGAGAAAACCCAAGAGUACGGACAUAGUCAGCAAACCUCUUAUACCAAGCCCUUAGAGCCUGUUUGAGCCCGUAGAGAGAUUUCUUUAGCAAACAAACAUGAUUAGGGUGAGCGGGAUCCCGGUACCCCAAAGGUUGAUACAUGUAUACAGUCUCCUUGAGUUUCCCAUGUAAGAAUGCAUUUUUGAUGUCAAGUUGAUGAAUCUGCCAAGCCUUAGAGAGAGACAAACUGAGAACUGUGCGAAUAGUUGCCGGUUUGACGAUCGGACUAAACGUCUCACCACAAUCCACGCCAACCUGUUGAGUUUUAUUAUCACAUACAAGACGGGCUUUAUGCCUCUCUAAUAAACCAUCAGAUCUUUCUUUAUGAGCAAAAAUCCACAUCAACCUAAUUACAUUAACAUUUGGAGGACGGGGAACCAAUUCCCACGUCUUAUUUUCAAUAAGAGCAUUAUAUUCAUCAUCCAUAGCCAAUUUCCAAUUCAGGUCACGAAGAGCAGACAAAGGGUUACUAGGGAGGGGUGAUUUAGACGCUGAUGUAAGAAGGCUGAAAGGCUUCUUAGGCUUUGAAAUCCCAUAUUGACUCCUAGUAACUGGACUCGUGGGCAGUCGCGAGGGAGAGAUCGGAGUGGGGCAAAGAAGAGAGUUAGAUGAGAGAGGGGAAGGAGUAGAUGAGCUCGGUGUAGUUGACUGGGGAAGGCUAGCGGUCGACUGAGGAAGGCCGUGCUGCACGAUGGGCACAACGGAACCACUCGCUAGGCCAGGCGAUGUGGGUGCGAGUGCGUUUUGAAUAGGUGCAACUUGUGGGUUAGGAGAGGUAGUGAAAUGAUGGACCAUGUAUGGAGAUGGCCCAUCGUCAAGAAACCUAUAACUGUGAGUUUGAGGAGUAUGAGACUUUGCAUAGGGAAAUUGUGUCUCAUCAAAUAUUACGUGACGGCUAAUGAUGAUUUUUCUAGAUGACAAAUCAAAGCAUUUAUACCCACGAUGAUUUGACGGAUACCCCAAAAAAAACACAAGGAGUUGAUCGUGGUUGGAGUUUGUUGAUGGUUGUAGAGGGAAUAAAAGGAUAACAUAAACACCCAAACACCCGAAGAUGAGAAUAAGACAGAUCUUUUUGAUAAAGGAUGCGAAGAGGAAAUUGAUAAUGCAAUAGCUUAUGAGGAAGGAUACUGAGAAGGUAAGUCGCCAUUUGCAACGCAUGAUGCCAACAGAAAGGAGGAAGGGAAGCAUGGGCUAAUAAGGUACGAACAAUGUUGUUGAUCGUACAAAUUUGUCUUUCAGCUGUCCCAUUUUGAGGGAAUGUAUGAGGACAUGAAAGACGAAAUGAAAGGCCAUUUGCUUUACAAAAAUCCCAAAAGGGGCCAUUAUCAAAUUCCGUGCCAUUAUCACAUUGUUUAUUCUUUAUGUCCCGCUCAAGUUAGGUUCGAAGAAAUGUCUUGAAACUCAAAAAUGUGGAAAACAUUUGUGAUUUGUGCGAUAAAGGAAAAGUCCACAAAUUUUUUGAAUAAUCAUCCACAAACAAGACAUAAUAUCGAUGACCCGAUGAAUUCAAAACAGGGGACGUCCAAAUAUCACUAUGGAUAAUAUCAAAUGGCAUAACAAUGUGAGAAUUUGAAUGAUAAAAGGGCAACUUAACAUGUUUUCCAAGAGGGCAGAAUGCAAAUACGAGUGUCUUUAAUUUGAUUACAAUUCAAUCAAUUAUUCUUCCUAAGAGAGUUCAAAACAGGUCUUCUCGGGUGACCCAGACGAUCAUGCCAAAGAGAUGGUGCCAAAACAGCAAAAGAAGAUGGAGAAGUGGUUGGAGUAGUGAUGGGAUACAACUCGCCCCGACUUUCACACCUCAUUACCGGUCUCCCCGUCUGAAAAUCCUUAACAGUAAACCCACACGGAUCAAAUUCAACAAAGACAGAGUUAUCAGUUGUAAAUUUUCUAACUGACACCAAAUUUUUAACAAGGUGAGGGGCAUGAAGGACAUUGUUUAUAAAUUGUAAGGGAGGACACGGUGAAGAUAAUUUAGUGUGACCAUAACCAUGAAUUGGAAUUGAUUGACCAUUUCCAACUAUUAUACCACAUUUAUUUCUCUUAUUAAAAUAAGACGUGAGGUUACCUUGUGUGGAUGUCAUAUGAGAAGUGGCACCGGUAUUCAUGUACCAAUUUGCAUUCGGAGGAGUGAUUCCAAGAGUAUGCAUUGCAGCCUCAAUGUCGGUUGGAGAUGGAGCUGCUGUGUAGGCCUGCUGUGGUCUGGGCCCAAGCAGACCAGGCUGUUGUUUCAGCUGCUGUCCAUAAUUGGGCCUUGUCCAUGAGUUUGAUGGAUAUGGACAAGGAGGUAUAGCCCAGGGAGCCCACGGUGCCAUCCAAGGCCACGACUGACCUCCAGCCCAUGGAGAAUUGGGUGGCGAUUGCUGACCUGCUGGCUGUUGUCCGUCACCGCGGCUGUUGCCAUCCCCCAUUUGACCACCACCUCCAGCCUUACCUCCACCGUCGCUACCACCCUUGUUGCCUCCACGACCACCAUUGUUGUUGCGAUUAUUGUUGCGGUAUUGGUUCCGCUUCCCACCAUUAGUAUUGAGGUGUGAGGAGGAAUGGUCAACAAUAUCAUGCGAGCCAGUCGACUCACGAGCAACCAUAGCUGAUGUGAUAUAUACAAAGAAUCAUAAUAUCUUUAUCAUAAAUUUUAACAGAGACAUCUUUAAUUUUCAAACAUUUGUCAAUAUGUGUCCACAAUCUUAAUCUAUUUGAUUUAAUAGUUUUAGGAAGAGAUAUUGAAUAACUAUGACUUUAUUUUAACUUGCCAUAUAAACAUAUAAAAAAUCAUUGUUAACAAAAAUUGUACAAAUAUCAUGUUGUCUUUGCAUUCAACUAAUAGUAGAUAGUAACAAAAUGAAAACUACAAUAAAAUAAUAUAAUAAUUCAGGUACAAGAAAUAACAGAUAGCUAGUAAUAAAAAAGAAUAAAAAAUAACAAGAGAAAUAUUACGUACAACUAUUAAUAUAAACGGACAUAAAAACACCACAUUGUUAUCUACUAAUAUUUUAUCCUAAAAAUAUAUUAUAACUAUUGAAAUAUGUGAUGAUCUCGUAUAGAAAAAUUAACAUAUUAUUUAUAUUUACGUAAUUGUUUUCAUCAUGUUUUAUCUAAAAUAAACUAUAAAAAGAUAUUUUUACUCAAUUAUGUCUUCCAACUUCAUUUGGGUAGACUAUAAAAACAUUAAUACAAUCACUUCAAGAAAGUAGAGCUAUGACAUCGACGACAUUUAUGACAAAAUGUCAUUAAAAACAGCGUCAUUGUUGUAAUGAUAAAGACAUUUGGCGCAAAAUAUCCUAAAAAUAAUGACAUUUGACACGAAAUAUUAUUUAAACAAUCACAUUAAAUAUAAAUGCCAAUAAUAUUAUGACAUUUGUUUCAAAUAUCAUAUCAUUUGACGCUAAGUACCAACUUUUACACCUAAUGUUUGAAAAAUUUAAGAUUUUUAAAAUUAUUUUGUCACUCUUUAUAUUAAAUUGUAGAACAAAAUUAUUGAAUACUUACAAAAUAAAAGUAGUAAUUUUUACCUUAAUUAAUCGAUAUAUGGUGACGUGACCUUCAUAUCAAUAACUUAAAAAUUGCAAAGUUAAGGUGAGCUUAAGUUCGACCCUUUGUUUCAGUUUGCAUCCAAUAAUGGUUGGAAAUUUUAAAGCAACAUUUCCAAAGUUUUAAAAAAAAUGUCAUCAAUUUUACACGGUGAAAACAUUUUACAAAUGUCGUAAAAAAAGUUAUUUUGAUAUUGGCAAAAAUUUAAUUUUAAUGUGACAAUUUAUAAAGGUCACAAAUAAAUGUCGUAAAUCAUUUUUUGAAAAUAAUUUAAAUAUAAAAAAAUAAGUGACAUUUUAUAUAUGUCAUGAAUAAAGGUCCCUUAUUAAUUAUCGACAUUUCUUUAAAUGUUUGAAAAUUCUCGACAAUCAAAUGUCGGUAAGUAGUUUUGCGAUAUUUAAACUGCCUAAUACGAUAUUUAUAUAAUGUCGUUGUAUCUCCAUUUUCUUUGUAGUGAAUAAUACAACUCAAUUGACCCUUUAUUUAAAAGAAAACUAGAAAACCUCAAAUAACAUGUGCAUCAACAAAAGUUCUGAUGGAGUGAUAAAUAUUUUUUAUUUUUAAUCAAAGGUCAUGAAUUUAAGCUUUAUCUUCUACUAUGAAACUUCUCGACGCAAAUCUGAACUCAAUCACCAUUCAAUGUGAUACCAAACACUGAUUAAAAAAAAACCAUGUUAAAUGUGCAUUUAGGUCUCAAGAAAAUAAGUGUGGUGUCAAUUGAGGACUUCGGUAAACAAAAUUUUGGAGUGUAUUGAUUAAAACAGCUACUUUGAUAAACAAAAAAAAUCAGCAUAUAUCAUAGGAUACUUCUAAAAAAUUCACUUUGUUACACUUUUAAGUCUCUUUCUUAGUCUAUAUAUCAAAUAUCUAUUUUUAAAAGUAACGUGAGUAUGAAGAGAAUAUAAUAUACACAAUCUUAUUUUAUUUUAUACUAUAAAAUCAUUUUGAAAAUUAACACGAGUUUGAAGAGAAUAGAAUGUAUACAAAUAUUAUUUUAUCUUGUAAUAUAGAAAUAAAGUUUUUUUAGUUUAUAGAUCCUCAAUCAAACAAGUUAAAUAAAUCUGGAUAUCAAAACGGAAAAUAAAAAUAUUAAUCAGCUGAUAAUAUGACUUCUCAUUCCUACAUGGCAUGUCAAUACUAAUUACUUUUUUUUUCACUGCCUUAUAAACUAAAUCCCUAAAUCUUAAUUACUCCCUUUUUCCCCUCAUUUCAUUAUUUUCCAUAAACGAUUUCACCCCUUCUCCCUCAUUUCGUAGCUAGGUUUCACAACUUCUCCCUCGUUUCGCGGCUAGGUUUAUUUGGGAGAAGCUGUGAAACCUAGCCUCAAAACGAGGGAGAAGGGGUGAAAUCGUUUCUGGAAAAUAAUGAAAUGAGGGGGAAAAAAGAGUAAUUAAGAUUUAGGGAUUGUGGAAAAAAAGAGUAAUUAAUAUGGCAUGACAUGUGGCAUCCACACGGCAUUUAACAACUUCCGUUAAUAAGAAUGGUACUUUUGACCCAAUAGUUUGACGGGAUGGGUAGUUUAAGCCGAAAUAUAGUUUAAGGGCAUAUAUGAGCUAUUUCGAAUAGUUUAAGGGUAUUUUUGACCCUUUUCCGUUAUUAUUAUUAUCAUUUUACAUUAUGGGUGUGUUUGGUAUGAAGGAAAAUGUUUUUCUUGAAAACAAGUUGAUUUUUGACUUAUUUUCUCAUGUUUGGUUGGUGAGUAGAAAAUAUUUUCCAGAAAAGAUUUUUAGUGUUUGAUUUCUAAAUGAAAAAUAUUUUUGAAAAAUAUAUUUUAUUUUUACUAGAGUAGAAAAUAAUUUUUGAAAUUGAANNNNNNNNNNNNNNNNNNNNNNNNNNNNNNNNNNNNNNNNNNNNNNNNNNNNNNNNNNNNNNNNNNNNNNNNNNNNNNNNNNNNNNNNNNNNNNNNNNNNNNNNNNNNNNNNNNNNNNNNNNNNNNNNNNNNNNNNNNNNNNNNNNNNNNNNNNNNNNNNNNNNNNNNNNNNNNNNNNNNNNNNNNNNNNNNNNNNNNNNNNNNNNNNNNNNNNNNNNNNNNNNNNNNNNNNNNNNNNNNNNNNNNNNNNNNNNNNNNNNNNNAGUUGAAAGAGAGUUUUGGAAAAUGUUUUCCUUAAGUUUUGAAGGGAAGUCAUUUUCCGUAAAUUUGAGGAAAAUGAGUUGAUUUGGAAAACAUUUUCCAAAACAUUUAACCCAACCAAACAUGAGAAAAUUGGAAAAUGUUUUCCUUCAUACCAAACACACCCUAUGACUAUCUUGUGCACCAAUUAAACCUAAUCCUUUUGUUGACAACCUUGUUAAAACCUCUUGACCCAAAAAUGUUACUUCCUUCUCACCUAUAAAUCAUUUUGAAGCAUUGGUUUGUUUGAAUAGUUUGGAAAGAAAAUCAAAUAGCAAACACAUUAGCUUAAGAAGGAUCUAAGAUGCAACAAGCAAACUCUUUUGUACAAUGGACAUUUCCACCUUUGUUUGUACUUAAUAAGGUGGAAGCAAAUAAAGUAGGAACUCCUUUUGUUCAGUUGAAAAGGGCUCUAAUCGAUCCUGUAAAUUGUAAUAAUGAUAAAGCCUCCCCCGAAAAUAGCUCUAGCAGUCUAGUUGCCAUUCCACUCCCUUGUAAUAAUGCAUAUUAGUUUCUAUUAAUAUAUUAUCUCCAUUUUACCAAAAAAAAAUAAAACUUAGGCCAAAGCCUAAGUUAGGGGUAUGAUAAAGAAGGAGAAUAUAUUCCAAGUGAAAAAGAAGCAUAAGACUCACCCUUGGUUCUUGUGGCAAAGUAAUGCCUUGAUCAUCUUUGUGGUAUGAUUGAAAUAAAAAGGGUUCCCGAUGAGUUGAAUAAGAAAUGAAUGUUGGGAAUUACUUGAGGUUGAGUCUCUUGGUCAAAAGAAAGAAAGAACUUGAGAAAAAGUGAAGUUGGAAACAACAAUGCUUCGAAAAGGAUAAGUCACCCCAUUACAAGACUGAAAAAACCCUUUGAGAUCUUAACUUAAAGUCGAGUGAUGUUAUGAUUGAAAAUAUAUAGACAAGCCUAUACAUUAAAACGUGCAUUCAUUUAAUUAUCGGGUAAAAGUACUAAUACUCUCCCAACAAAUUAAGUUGUGACAAGAUAACAAAUGCAACUUUAUUAUAUUACCAAAUCCAAAAUGACAACAACAACAAUAAUAAAAAAGUAAAUAAAAAUUGCCAAACCUUAGAGACCUAAACUCUAAAACUGAAAGAAAUCCUUGAUAUCAUUGUCACAUUCAAAUAGAUGCAUAUAGUCUUCCUUCAAAUCCACUUGCACACAAAUCCCAUUGCCACAUUCUGCAUCAUACAACCAGCAAACUUGAUCAUGUCUUGACCCAAAAUGCAUCAAACAUGGCUUUCCCCAACCAAAAUCAGCUUCUUGUAUAGGAAAUUUACAUAAACUUGAACUUGUGUACCUAUCAACUUCAUCACUUCCCAGGGGCGGCUCAACAUAAUAUGUGGCCUAAAGCGAAAUUUUUAUUAGAGGCCUAAAAUCUAUAUAACUUUUAUCUAUAUCUAUUUAUUUUGCUAAUUUUCUAGAUAUAAAUUACUACUUAAUAUCUUUUAUAUAAAUGAUUUUUCAAACACUUUUUUUUUUUAAUUAUUAGUUUUAAGUAAGAUUUUAUCAAUUCAACAUUGAAAAACAUCUUUUUGUUGAGACAAUUAUUAUAUGAAUUAUUAACACAAUUUUAUAAGUAAUAAGUUAAUAAACUUUAAAGAUAAGAGUUAGAAUCAUAGCAUUUGAUUCAAAAAGUUGAUAACUUGGUAUACCUACUUUAAUAUGAAAAUUAACAAAUAAAUUUUAAAAAAAAGAAUUUGUAAUGCACUUUGUUCAACACUUUUCGACUAUUGAUUCAUAUUUUUGAGAGUGUAUUACUCUAACUAUCAAAGAUUUGAAGAAAUAGAGUGCAAAAAGAGUUACAAAGGAUAAAUAAUGUGAGUGUUAACGAAGAAAAUGUAAGAAUCCAAAACAAUGUUUCCUUAAUUUCUUCUAUUUGAAUAGGGUUAAGAUACAUAAUUUUUUAUUUAUAAAAAUUUGAGGCCCCCAAAAAUUGGGGGCCUAAGGCCAAUGCCUAAAAUUAUAUAGGCAAGAGCCGGCCCUGUCACUUCCUCCCCAAUCUUGUGCUAGAAAACUUUCAUUAUAUAUAUUUGACACCGCGGACACUAUGUCCUCCGGUGAUGUCUUGUCACAAGUAAUAAUAGUUUCCUUCACAGUGUCAUGAAUUAAUGUCACGAAUUUGUGCAACUCCAUCUUGUUCUCCCCAGGUAUGAAUUUUAAAGGGGCGUCAACUCCAAGAUUUCCAAAAGAUUUUUCUACUUGAGGUAAAGAAAUUAACCUAGUGCGCAAGUUUAUUGGGAUGUUCAUUAGAGAACGUCUUAGAUAUCCGUGCUUCUUUUCUGAAGCACGAAUUAAA